AUUGAACGCUGGCGGCAGGCCUAACACAUGCAAGUCGAGCGAGCGGCGGACGGGAGAGUAAUGGAUGGGGACUGCACGAUAGAGGGGGAUAACUAAUGGAAACGGUGGCUAGUAACGCAGACUGUCGGUGAACCAAUAUGGGAUGAGCUAGUAUGUAAGGUAAUGGCUUACCUAGGCGACGAUCCCUCGGUGUUCUGAGAGGAUGAUCAGCCACACUGGGACUUAGCCCCGGCCCAGACUCCUACGGAGGCAGCAGUGGGGAAUAUGGCACAAUGGGCGCAAGCCUGAUGCAGCCAUGCCGCGUGUAUGAAGAAGGCCCUAGGGUUGUAAAGUACUUUCAGUCGGAAGGCGUUACCGACAGAAGAAGCACCGGCUAACUCCGUGCCAGCAGCCGCGGUAAUUC
This 403-nucleotide ribosomal RNA is filed under the name uncultured bacterium. Its description in RNAcentral is "partial 16S ribosomal RNA". It matches the Rfam family "Bacterial small subunit ribosomal RNA", at positions 30 to 526 of the family's 1533-position model. The record is from RNAcentral.